Molecule: ribosomal RNA, 253 nt
Filed under: uncultured bacterium
Lineage: Bacteria
Description: partial 16S ribosomal RNA
Rfam family: Bacterial small subunit ribosomal RNA
Source: RNAcentral
UACGGAGGGUGCGAGCGUUGUCCGGAAUCAUUGGGCGUAAAGGGCGCGUAGGUGGCGGCUUAAGCGUGCGGUGAAAGCUCGGGGCUCAACCCCGAGUCGGCCGUGCGAACUGAGUCGCUUGAGCACUGUAGAGGCAGGCGGAAUUCCGGGUGUAGCGGUGGAAUGCGUAGAGAUCCGGAAGAACACCGGUGGCGAAGGCGGCCUGCUGGGCAGUAGCUGACACUGAAGCGCGACAGCGUGGGGAGCAAACAGG